CCUACGGGAGGCAGCAGUGGGGAAUAUUGCACAAUGGGGGAAACCCUGAUGCAGCAACGCCGCGUGAGUGAGGAAGUAUUUCGGUAUGUAAAGCUCUAUCAGCAGGGAAUAGAAAAGAAGGUACCUGAACAAGAAGCGCCGGCUAACUACGUUCCAGCAGCCGAGGGAAUACGGAGGGGGCAAGCGUUGACCGGAUUUAAUGGGUUUAAAGGGAGCGUAGGCGGAAAGGCAAGUCAGAAGGGAAAACCCAAGGCUUAACCAUGGUACUGCUUUUGAAACUGUCAAACUAGAGUACGGGAGAGGUAAGAGGAAUGCCUGGUGUAGCGGUGAAAUGCGUAGAUAUUAGGAGGAACACCAGUGGCGAAGGCGUCUUACUGGACCGAAACUGACGUUGAGGCUCGAAAGCGUGGGGAGCAAACAGGAUUAGAUACCCGUGUAGUC
This 441-nucleotide ribosomal RNA is filed under the name uncultured bacterium. RNAcentral describes it as "partial 16S ribosomal RNA". It matches the Rfam family "Bacterial small subunit ribosomal RNA", at positions 338 to 795 of the family's 1533-position model. The record is from RNAcentral.